GACGAACGCUGGCGGCGCGCUUAACACAUGCAAGUCGAACGGAAAGGCCUGCUUUCCCUUGUGGAUUGCGGGUACUCGAGUGGCGAACGGGUGAGUAACACGUGAGUGAUCUGCCCCCAACUUGGGUAUAAGCCUGGGAAACUGGGUCUAAUUCCCGAUAGGACUGCAGGGUGGUGCCGUUGGUGGAAAACGUUUUUCUAUUGUUUGGGGAUGGGCUCGCGGCCUAUCAGCUUGUUGGUGGGGUAAUGGCCUACCAAGGCGGCGACGGGUAGCCGGCCUGAGAGGGUGGACGGCCACAUUGGGACUGAGAUACGGCCCAGACUCCUACGGGAGGCAGCAGUGGGGAAUAUUGCACAAUGGGCGGAAGCCUGAUGCAGCGACGCCGCGUGGGGGAUGACGGCCUUCGGGUUGUAAACUCCUUUCGACCGCGAGGAAGCCACCUGGUUGGAAGGGUGGUGACGGUAGUGGUAGAAGAAGCACCGGCUAACUACGUG
This 494-nucleotide ribosomal RNA is filed under the name uncultured bacterium. RNAcentral describes it as "partial 16S ribosomal RNA". It matches the Rfam family "Bacterial small subunit ribosomal RNA", at positions 28 to 507 of the family's 1533-position model. The record is from RNAcentral.